UGAAUUUAAGCAUAUCAAUAAGCGGAGGAAAAGAAACUAACCAGGAUUCCCCCAGUAACGGCGAGCGAAGAGGGAAGAGCUCGAGCCUGAAAUCCCCGGCGCCUGGCGCCGGAGAAUUGUGGCCGGGAGAGGCAGCCGUGCCCGGACUGGCGCUGUCGAAGUUGACCUGGAAAGGCACGUCAGAGAGGGUGAGAGCCCCGUGCGCGACACCGCUAGGCCGGGCUGCUACUGUCUUCGGAGAGUCGGGUUGUUUGGGAUUGCAGCCCAAAGUGGGUGGUAAACUCCAUCUAAAGCUAAAUACUGGCACGAGACCGAUAGCGAACAAGUACCGUGAGGGAAAGGUGAAAAGUACUUUGAAAAGAGAGUCAAAAAGACCGCGAAACCGUUAGGAGGGAAACGAAUGCGGCUGAAGUGGCUCCCCGUCAGGCUCAAGAGACGUCGUCGGGUCUCGAGGGUGGCGGUUGAUUCCGCGCCCGUGAGACGCCCGUCGACCGCUCUGCACUUCUGCGGGGGGCCGGCCAACGUCAGUUGCCCCCGGCCCAUGAGGGCGUCGUGGGAAGGUGGCUCCGUGCGCAUGCGCGGAGAACUUAUAGCCCGGCGUCAUUGGCGUUCCGGGGAGCGACUGAGGAGAGUUGCGAGUCUUUCGCACGUCGCGGCGCAGGCCUCUCGAGGCUGGGCCCCGGCCCGUCGGCGGGCGUCCGAGACCCUCACUGCGUGCAGUGGAGGCCUACGGUUCUCUCUCCGGCGGGCAGGUCGGUCGCACCUUGCGUCGCAGUCGUNNNNNNNNNNNNNNNNNNNNNNNNNCCGUCUUGAAACACGGACCAAGGAGUGCAACAUGCGUGNGAGUCCGNGGGUGGCAAACCCGUCGGCGCAAUGAAAGUGAAGGCAGGCGUUUGGCCUGCUGUGGCGAGAGCCUCCCUCGUUGGGGGCGCAUNGUNGACCGAUCCCAGGNUACGNUGUGGCGGGAUUUGAGUGAGAGCGUGCCUGUUGCGACCCGAAAGAUGGUGAACUAUGCCUGAAUAGGGUGAAGCCAGGGGAAACCCUGGUGGAAGCUCGUAGCGAUUCUGACGUGCAAAUCGAUCGUCAAAUUUGGGUAUAGGGGCGAAAGACUAAUCGAACCAUCUAGUAGCUGGUUCCCUCCGAAGUUUCCCUCAGGAUAGCUGGAGCCCGGUGCAGUUUUAUCAGGUAAAGCGAAUGAUUAGAGGUCUUGGGGCUGAAACAGCUUCAACCUAUUCUCAAACUUUAAAUGGGUAAGAAGCCUGGCUUGCUCGGUUGAAGUCAGGCAGUGAAUGCCGGGGCUCCCAGUGGGCCAUUUUUGGUAAGCAGAACUGGCGAUGUGGGAUGAACCAAAUGCCGGGUUAAGGUGCCUGAAUCGACGCUCAUCAGAUCCCANUGAAAGGUGUUGGUUGAUACNNGACAGCAGGACGGUGGCCAUGGAAGUC
RNAcentral lists this ribosomal RNA (1442 nucleotides) under Hymedesmia promina. RNAcentral describes it as "partial large subunit ribosomal RNA". It matches the Rfam family "Eukaryotic large subunit ribosomal RNA", at positions 29 to 1262 of the family's 3401-position model. Lineage: Eukaryota; Metazoa; Porifera; Demospongiae; Poecilosclerida; Hymedesmiidae. The record is from RNAcentral.